Molecule: ribosomal RNA, 402 nt
Filed under: Amblyomma mixtum
Lineage: Eukaryota; Metazoa; Arthropoda; Arachnida; Ixodida; Ixodidae
Description: partial large subunit ribosomal RNA
Rfam family: Bacterial large subunit ribosomal RNA (bases 134-402)
Source: RNAcentral
UAUUUUGACUAUACAAAGGUAUUGAAAUAAGACUUUAAUUGAGUGCUAAGAGAAUGGAAUUACAGGAAAAAUCUUUUUUAAACUUAACAAUUAAAGUUAUUUUUACUUGUGAAGAAACAGUAAUAAAAAUUAAGGACAAGAAGACCCUAAGAAUUUUUAGAAACAUAUUUCAAUAAAGAAGAUAUGUUUCUUUAAUUGGGGCGAUUAAUUAAUAUUAAAAACUUUUUUAAAAAAACAUGAACCGUUUAAUAGCGGUAAAUUGGUAAAAAUACUCUAGGGAUAACAGCGUAAUAAUUUUCGAUAGUUCAUAUUGACAAAAUAGUUUGCGACCUCGAUGUUGGAUUAGGAUAUUUUUUUGAUGAAGAAGUUAAAAAAAAAAGUUUGUUCAACUUUUAAUUUCCU